RNAcentral lists this ribosomal RNA (422 nucleotides) under uncultured bacterium. RNAcentral describes it as "bacterial SSU rRNA". It matches the Rfam family "Bacterial small subunit ribosomal RNA", at positions 29 to 494 of the family's 1533-position model. The record is from RNAcentral.
AACGAACGCUGGCGGCAGGCUUAACACAUGCAAGUCGAACGGGUGCAGCAAUGCAUCAGUGGCAGACGGGUGAGUAACACGUGGGAACCUUCCUAGGGGUACGGAACAACUCAGGGAAACUUGAGCUAAUACCGUAUACGUCCGUAAGGAGAAAGAUUCAUCGCCCCUAGACGGGCCCGCGUCGGAUUAGGUAGUUGGUGGGGUAACGGCCUACCAAGCCUGCGAUCCGUAGCUGAUCUGAGAGGAUGAUCAGCCACACUGGGACUGAGACACGGCCCAGACUCCUACGGGAGGCAGCAGUGGGGAAUCUUGGACAAUGGGCGCAAGCCUGAUCCAGCCAUGCCGCGUGAGUGAAGAAGGCCUUAGGGUUGUAAAGCUCUUUUACCAGGGACGAUAAUGACGGUACCUGGAGAAUAAGCCCC